AGCUGGUAUCUGGUGGCAGCUCAGCUCCUCUUGUGUCUUCGUGCUUCCCUGGCACUGAGUGCACAAGAGGGGCUGAGAGGAAAGUCCGAACACGCACGCCACACCUCGCGAGGUGCGGCGUAGGACGGUAGCGGGUAACGCCCGCUGGGAGUGAUCCUUAGGAUGCGAGCAGAGACGCCUGGCUGCGAGAGCAGCAGGCAUCCGCCUGUCGGCGGAUGAGUCCGCGCGGCAACGCGCGGGGUGAAACGGCUAAACUCCUACCUGCGUGCAAGGCCGUGCCCUGGUGAACCGCGCUUCGCGCGACGGAUCUUUGAUCCCUUGUUCACGGGGAGUGCCGCGUGAGGCGGUCGGUAACGAUCGUCCCAGAUACAUUGCCACCCCCUGCCCCGCAGGGACAGAAUUCGGCUUACCGAUGCCAGCGACAC
This 425-nucleotide RNase P RNA is filed under the name Patescibacteria group bacterium. RNAcentral describes it as "RNase P RNA component class A". It matches the Rfam family "Bacterial RNase P class A". From Rfam's summary of the family: Ribonuclease P (RNase P) is a ubiquitous endoribonuclease, found in archaea, bacteria and eukarya as well as chloroplasts and mitochondria. Its best characterised activity is the generation of mature 5'-ends of tRNAs by cleaving the 5'-leader elements of precursor-tRNAs. Cellular RNase Ps are ribonucleoproteins. The record is from RNAcentral.